Molecule: ribosomal RNA, 519 nt
Filed under: fungal sp. E14717D
Lineage: Eukaryota; Fungi
Description: eukaryotic LSU rRNA
Rfam family: 5.8S ribosomal RNA (bases 179-332)
Source: RNAcentral
CAUUGCUGGAACGCGCUUCGGCGCACCCAGAAACCCUUUGUGAACUUAUACCUAUUGUUGCCUCGGCGAAGGCCGGCCUCUCUUCUGAGGCCCCCCGGAAACGGGGAGCAGCCCGCCGGCGGCCAACCAAACUCUUGUUUCUUAGUGAAUCUCUGAGUAAAAAACAUAAAUGAAUCAAAACUUUCAACAACGGAUCUCUUGGUUCUGGCAUCGAUGAAGAACGCAGCGAAAUGCGAUAAGUAAUGUGAAUUGCAGAAUUCAGUGAAUCAUCGAAUCUUUGAACGCACAUUGCGCCCUCUGGUAUUCCGGAGGGCAUGCCUGUUCGAGCGUCAUUUCAACCCUCAAGCCUGGCUUGGUGUUGGGGCACUGCUUUGUCUCAAAGCAGGCCCUGAAAUCUAGUGGCGAGCUCGCUAGGACCCCGAGCGUAGUAGUUAUAUCUCGUUCUGGAAGGCCCUGGCGGUGCCCUGCCGUUAAGCCCCCAACUUCUGAAAUUUUGACCUCGGAUCAGGUAGGAAUACC